RNAcentral lists this ribosomal RNA (377 nucleotides) under uncultured bacterium. RNAcentral's name for it is "bacterial SSU rRNA". It matches the Rfam family "Bacterial small subunit ribosomal RNA", at positions 521 to 896 of the family's 1533-position model. The record is from RNAcentral.
UAAGACGUAGGAUCCGAGCGUUGUCCGGAGUUACUGGGCGUAAAGCGCGCGCAGGCGGACACGCGCAUCGGCGGUGAAAGCCCCCCGCUCAACGGGGGAGGGUCCGUCGAGAUGGCGUGUCUGGAGGCAGGGAGAGGCCAGUGGAAUUCCGGGUGUAGUGGUGAAAUGCGUAGAGAUCCGGAGGAACACCAGUGGCGAAGGCGGCUGGCUGGACCUGACCUGACGCUGAGGCGCGAAGGCGUGGGGAGCGAACGGGAUUAGAUACCCCGGUAGUCCACGCAGUAAACGAUGGGUACUAGGUGUGGCGGGAGUUGACCCCUGCCGUGCCGGCGCUAACGCAGUAAGUACCCCGCCUGGGGAGUACGGCCGCAAGGCUA